AGCUUACCAACUGUGUUACAUAUUUUUCAAGUGAGUACAAAUUGUACACAUUAAAUGAGUUAAAUUUAAGAGCAGAACUUGCCAUUAAUUGUUAUACAUUGCUGACUUUGUAUAACAGCUUAGUCUUUGUUCUCAAUCUAACCUGUUCAAUGAUUUAUUUAUUUUUUAAUUCAUGUAAAUUUAUAAUAUUAAAUUAAUACAUGAAUCUUUGCACUAACAUUUUUAUAAUUAUAUUAUUCGAAUCGGUUACCCAUUCUCUCUAAUUCUAUCAUAUAUUUAUGACUGAAUAUAACUUAAUUCUUACUGGAUGUAGCGGUACAUGUAAGAAUAUUGCAAACACGAAAGUUUUAUUUAUUUGGAAAUACACUAAUUAGCAUUUUUCUAAUCUUAUUUUGCACUGUAUACAGUUACUAGUGACUGUAUAGAAGAAUCUUGCAAACAUUAAUUUUUAAAUUAUUUAGAAAUUUACUUUUUAGUUUUUUUCUCAGCGGAUGCAGAGGCUUCCUUCCCGCCGGGAGCUGAGGCUUCUGCACUGCCGGGAGCUAAGGCUUUUGCACCGCCGGGAGCAGAGGCUUCUGCACCACCGGGAGCAGAGGCUCCUGCACCAUCUUGUAACUCAACUAGUUUCUCGGUCAGAGGAUCGGCUUCUACCUCGCCUUUUACCUCGUUGGCAGCAGCAAGUUUCUCCUCUUCUGCAACGGCACCUUUUGCCUGAGCGUUUGAAACAGUAAUGAAGGAAAACAUAAUCAAUAGUGAAAUACAACAGAUGAAAAGCUCAA
This 779-nucleotide long non-coding RNA is filed under the name Manihot esculenta (cassava). Its description in RNAcentral is "long non-coding RNA (MESC_LNC012060)". Lineage: Eukaryota; Viridiplantae; Streptophyta; Magnoliopsida; Malpighiales; Euphorbiaceae. The record is from RNAcentral.